This 1534-nucleotide ribosomal RNA is filed under the name Klebsiella pneumoniae. RNAcentral's name for it is "bacterial SSU rRNA". It matches the Rfam family "Bacterial small subunit ribosomal RNA". Lineage: Bacteria; Pseudomonadati; Pseudomonadota; Gammaproteobacteria; Enterobacterales; Enterobacteriaceae. The record is from RNAcentral.
AAAUUGAAGAGUUUGAUCAUGGCUCAGAUUGAACGCUGGCGGCAGGCCUAACACAUGCAAGUCGAGCGGUAGCACAGAGAGCUUGCUCUCGGGUGACGAGCGGCGGACGGGUGAGUAAUGUCUGGGAAACUGCCUGAUGGAGGGGGAUAACUACUGGAAACGGUAGCUAAUACCGCAUAACGUCGCAAGACCAAAGUGGGGGACCUUCGGGCCUCAUGCCAUCAGAUGUGCCCAGAUGGGAUUAGCUAGUAGGUGGGGUAACGGCUCACCUAGGCGACGAUCCUAGCUGGUCUGAGAGGAUGACCAGCCACACUGGAACUGAGACACGGUCCAGACUCCUACGGGAGGCAGCAGUGGGGAAUAUUGCACAAUGGGCGCAAGCCUGAUGCAGCCAUGCCGCGUGUGUGAAGAAGGCCUUCGGGUUGUAAAGCACUUUCAGCGGGGAGGAAGGCGUUAAGGUUAAUAACCUCAUCGAUUGACGUUACCCGCAGAAGAAGCACCGGCUAACUCCGUGCCAGCAGCCGCGGUAAUACGGAGGGUGCAAGCGUUAAUCGGAAUUACUGGGCGUAAAGCGCACGCAGGCGGUCUGUCAAGUCGGAUGUGAAAUCCCGGCUCAACCGGGAACUGCAUUCGAAACUGGCAGGCUAGAGUCUUGUAGAGGGGUAGAAUUCCGUGUAGCGGUGAAAUGCGUAGAGAUCUGGAGGAAUACCGGUGGCGAAGGCGGCCCCCUGGACAAAGACUGACGCUCAGGUGCGAAAGCGUGGGGAGCAAACAGGAUUAGAUACCCUGGUAGUCCACGCCGUAAACGAUGUCGAUUUGGAGGUUGUGCCCUUGAGGCGUGGCUUCCGGAGCUAACGCGUUAAAUCGACCGCCUGGGAGUACGGCCGCAAGGUUAAAACUCAAAUGAAUUGACGGGGCCCGCACAAGCGGUGGAGCAUGUGGUUUAAUUCGAUGCAACGCGAAGAACCUUACGGUCUUGACAUCCACAGAACUUAGCAGAGAUGCUUUGGUGCCUUCGGGAACUGUGAGACAGGUGCUGCAUGGCUGUCGUCAGCUCGUGUUGUGAAAUGUUGGGUUAAGUCCCGCAACGAGCGCAACCCUUAUCCUUUGUUGCCAGCGGUCCGGCCGGGAACUCAAAGGAGACUGCCAGUGAUAAACUGGAGGAAGGUGGGGAUGACGUCAAGUCAUCAUGGCCCUUACCCGGGCUACACACGUGCUACAAUGGCAUAUACAAAGAGAAGCGACCUCGCGAGAGCAAGCGGACCUCAUAAAGUAUGUCGUAGUCCGGAUUGAGUCUGCAACUCGACUCCAUGAAGUCGGAAUCGCUAGUAAUCGUAGAUCAGAAUGCUACGGUGAAUACGUUCCCGGGCCUUGUACACACCGCCCGUCACACCAUGGGAGUGGGUUGCAAAAGAAGUAGGUAGCUUAACCUUCGGGAGGGCGCUUACCACUUUGUGAUUCAUGACUGGGGUGAAGUCGUAACAAGGUAACCGUAGGGGAACCUGCGGUUGGAUCACCUCCUUACCUUAAAGAA